GAUGAACGCUGGCGGCGUGCCUAACACAUGCAAGUCGAGCGAUCUUCUUCGGAAGAGAGCGGCGGACGGGUGAGUAACGCGUGGGUAACCUGCCCUGUACACACGGAUAACAUACCGAAAGGUAUGCUAAUACGAGAUAAUAUGCUUUUGUCGCAUGGUAGAAGUAUCAAAGCUCCGGCGGUACAGGAUGGACCCGCGUCUGAUUAGCUAGUUGGUAAGGUAACGGCUUACCAAGGCGACGAUCAGUAGCCGACCUGAGAGGGUGAUCGGCCACAUUGGGACUGAGACACGGUCCAAACUCCUACGGGAGGCAGCAGUGGGGAAUAUUGCACAAUGGGCGAAAGCCCGAUGCAGCAACGCCGCGUGAGCGAUGAAGGCCUUCGGGUCGUAAAGCUCUGUCCUCAAGGAAGAUAAUGACGGUACCCGGAGAAGAAGCCCCGGCUAACUUCGUGCCAGCCGCCGCCGUAA
Molecule: ribosomal RNA, 468 nt
Filed under: uncultured bacterium
Lineage: Bacteria
Description: partial 16S ribosomal RNA
Rfam family: Bacterial small subunit ribosomal RNA
Source: RNAcentral